RNAcentral lists this unclassified non-coding RNA (392 nucleotides) under uncultured fungus. RNAcentral describes it as "sequence contains ITS1". The stretch from base 1 to 106 matches the Rfam family "5.8S ribosomal RNA", at positions 50 to 154 of the family's 154-position model. Lineage: Eukaryota; Fungi. The record is from RNAcentral.
GAAAUGCGAUACGUAAUGCGAAUUGCAGAACUCAGUGAAUCAUCAAAUCUUUGAACGCAAAUGGCGCUUUUAGGAUAGGCCUGAAAGCACGCCUCUUUGAGUAUCGAUUCCACCCCAACAAGUCAACUUGUUUGAAUUUGUUGAAAUUGAGUAUUCCUUUCUUCUUAAGUGAGGAAAUGUUACUUGAAGCUGAAUAGGUUUAUCAAGGAUAUUUGAUCGUAAAAGAGUGUCUUCUUUUUAUUAAGAGGAAUUUUCUUGCGACACGUGGGUAAAUUAUCCAAUACGUGCUGCAAGUCAAAUCUUUCACGAAUUUUCAAAGAUCACAACCUUUAACCCCAAAUCUAAUCUGAGAAUUAGAUCUCAAAUGAAGCGAGAAUACCCGCUGAACUUAA